Molecule: small RNA, 133 nt
Filed under: Klebsiella variicola
Lineage: Bacteria; Pseudomonadati; Pseudomonadota; Gammaproteobacteria; Enterobacterales; Enterobacteriaceae
Also listed under: 4 other names
Description: RtT sRNA
Rfam family: RtT RNA
About the family: This family represents a bacterial cis-regulatory element known as RtT RNA.
Source: RNAcentral
GAUUCUGCCCUACGGGGAAGGAUGAGAAGCUUCGACUAAGGUUCGACUCGAGCGCCAGCGAGAGAACGUUGCCAAGGGCAACGGCCCGAAGGGCGAGGAGCGAUAGCGACGAGUUAUCCUUCCCCCUCUAUUC